CAUGUAUCACCUCUUCAGCUUGGAUCCUAUUGUGGAUUUAUUUACAAACAUCAAAUGCCUUCAAGCCAAUCCUUUUGCUGUAUGUUUUGCAGCCUACUGUAGUAGAUAAGCAACAGAUACGAGGAGAAAAGAGACGGGAGGAGGAGGCCGCCGAGAGACUUUGUAGGGCUGUUGUGUGGGUUCUAUGAGAGUGUUGCCUUUCUAUUGACAGCAGAGCAGCAUUGUGUUACUGACUGCCUACCAUCACUCAAUCUCAGGUGAAUGCAUCACUUGCCAAACUGUCGGAAUGCCGUCUGUUUCGUUGCACUGUUACGUUCUUGUUCUUGUUCUUGUCGUUCUUGUUAUUUGGUUGGCUUUUUGGAGAGGGAACUUCGGAAAUGGGACAUACACAAAACUGAUAACCCACCCACAUUCCCCUUUUUAUUAUUAAAUAUAAGAAGAAACAAAGCUCAGAGUGGAGAAAGACAGUAGGGCAAGCACCAGCGGAGAGUCAAGGGCUGUUGCUCUGAG
RNAcentral lists this long non-coding RNA (510 nucleotides) under Androctonus crassicauda. The record is from RNAcentral. Lineage: Eukaryota; Metazoa; Arthropoda; Arachnida; Scorpiones; Buthidae.